CCUACGGGAGGCAGCAGUGAGGAAUAUUGGUCAAUGGGCGCGAGUCUGAACCAGCCAAGUAGCGUGAAGGAUGACUGCCCUACGGGUUGUAAACUUCUUUUAUAGGGGAAUAAAGGUAUCCACGUGUGGAUAUUUGCAUGUACCCUAUGAAUAAGCAUCGGCUAACUCCGUGCCAGCAGCCGCGGUAAUACGGAGGAUGCGAGCGUUAUCCGGAUUUAUUGGGUUUAAAGGGUGCGUAGGUUGUUUUUUAAGUCAGCGGUGAAAGUUUGUGGCUCAACCAUAAAAUUGCCGUUGAAACUGGCAGACUUGAGUGUGUUUGAGGGAGGCGGAAUGCGUGGUGUAGCGGUGAAAUGCAUAGAUAUCACGCAGAACUCCGAUUGCGAAGGCAGCUUACUAGGCCAUAACUGACACUGAAGCACGAAAGCGUGGGGAUCAAACAGGAUUAGAUACCCCGGUAGUC
Molecule: ribosomal RNA, 460 nt
Filed under: uncultured bacterium
Lineage: Bacteria
Description: partial 16S ribosomal RNA
Rfam family: Bacterial small subunit ribosomal RNA
Source: RNAcentral